This 427-nucleotide ribosomal RNA is filed under the name uncultured bacterium. Its description in RNAcentral is "bacterial SSU rRNA". It matches the Rfam family "Bacterial small subunit ribosomal RNA", at positions 354 to 796 of the family's 1533-position model. The record is from RNAcentral.
GUAAGGGAUAUUGCGCAAUGGGCGAAAGCCUGACGCAGCAACGCCGCGUGCGGGAUGACGGCCUUCGGGUUGUAAACCGCUUUUCAGGGUGAAGAGGAAGGACGGUAGCCCUGGAAUAAGUCUCGGCUAACUACGUGCCAGCAGCCGCGGUAAAACGUAGGAGGCGAGCGUUAUCCGGAUUUACUGGGUGUAAAGCGCGUGCAGGCGGCUUUGUAAGUUGUGCGUGAAAGCGCUCAGGCUCAACCGGGCGAGGACGUGCAAAACUGCGGAGCUAGAGGUAGGUAGAGGCGUGUGGAAUUCCGGGUGUAGUGGUGAAAUGCGUAGAGAUCCGGAGGAACACCAGUGGCGAAGGCGACACGCUGGGCCUGACCUGACGCUAAGACGCGAAAGCAUGGGGAGCGAACGGGAUUAGAAACCCCAGUAGUCC